This 19-nucleotide microRNA is filed under the name Ananas comosus (pineapple). RNAcentral's name for it is "microRNA s0339_c17a". The record is from RNAcentral. Lineage: Eukaryota; Viridiplantae; Streptophyta; Magnoliopsida; Poales; Bromeliaceae.
AAACUUGAAAAUGGCAGAA